CUAAAUACUCCUGACUGACCGAUAGUGAACCAGUACCGUGAGGGAAAGGCGAAAAGAACCCCGGCGAGGGGAGUGAAAAAGAACCUGAAACCGUGUACGUACAAGCAGUGGGAGCACAGAGCAAUCUGUGUGACUGCGUACCUUUUGUAUAAUGGGUCAGCGACUUAUAUUCUGUAGCAAGGUUAACCGAAUAGGGGAGCCGAAGGGAAACCGAGUCUUAACUGGGCGUUAAGUUGCAGGGUAUAGACCCGAAACCCGGUGAUCUAGCCAUGGGCAGGUUGAAGGUUGGGUAACACUAACUGGAGGACCGAACCGACUAAUGUUGAAAAAUUAGCGGAUGACUUGUGGCUGGGGGUGAAAGGCCAAUCAAACCGGGAGAUAGCUGGUUCUCCCCGAAAGCUAUUUAGGUAGCGCCUCGUGAAUUCAUCUCCGGGGGUAGAGCACUGUUUCGGCAAGGGGGUCAUCCCGACUUACCAACCCGAUGCAAACUGCGAAUACCGGAGAAUGUUAUCACGGGAGACACACGGCGGGUGCUAACGUCCGUCGUGAAGAGGGAAACAACCCAGACCGCCAGCUAAGGUCCCAAAGUCAUGGUUAAGUGGGAAACGAUGUGGGAAGGCCCAGACAGCCAGGAUGUUGGCUUAGAAGCAGCCAUCAUUUAAAGAAAGCGUAAUAGCUCACUGGUCGAGUCGGCCUGCGCGGAAGAUGUAACGGGGCUAAACCAUGCACCGAAGCUGCGGCAGCGACGCUUAUGCGUUGUUGGGUAGGGGAGCGUUCUGUAAGCCUGUGAAGGUGUACUGUGAGGUAUGCUGGAGGUAUCAGAAGUGCGAAUGCUGACAUAAGUAACGAUAAAGCGGGUGAAAAGCCCGCUCGCCGGAAGACCAAGGGUUCCUGUCCAACGUUAAUCGGGGCAGGGUGAGUCGACCCCUAAGGCGAGGCCGAAAGGCGUAGUCGAUGGGAAACAGGUUAAUAUUCCUGUACUUGGUGUUACUGCGAAGGGGGGACGGAGAAGGCUAUGUUGGCCGGGCGACGGUUGUCCCGGUUUAAGCGUGUAGGCUGGUUUUCCAGGCAAAUCCGGAAAAUCAAGGCUGAGGCGUGAUGACGAGGCACUACGGUGCUGAAGCAACAAAUGCCCUGCUUCCAGGAAAAGCCUCUAAGCAUCAGGUAACAUCAAAUCGUACCCCAAACCGACACAGGUGGUCAGGUAGAGAAUACCAAGGCGCUUGAGAGAACUCGGGUGAAGGAACUAGGCAAAAUGGUGCCGUAACU
This 1269-nucleotide ribosomal RNA is filed under the name Escherichia coli. RNAcentral describes it as "partial 23S ribosomal RNA". It matches the Rfam family "Bacterial large subunit ribosomal RNA", at positions 466 to 1735 of the family's 2925-position model. Lineage: Bacteria; Pseudomonadati; Pseudomonadota; Gammaproteobacteria; Enterobacterales; Enterobacteriaceae. The record is from RNAcentral.